This 72-nucleotide transfer RNA is filed under the name Salmo salar (Atlantic salmon). It matches the Rfam family "tRNA". From Rfam's summary of the family: Transfer RNA (tRNA) molecules are approximately 80 nucleotides in length. Their secondary structure includes four short double-helical elements and three loops (D, anti-codon, and T loops). Lineage: Eukaryota; Metazoa; Chordata; Actinopteri; Salmoniformes; Salmonidae. The record is from Rfam by way of RNAcentral.
UCCACUGUGGCUCAAUUGGUAGAGCAUGGCGCUUGCAACGCUACAGUUAUGGGUUCAAUUUCCAUGGGGGAC